This is a long non-coding RNA of Panicum virgatum (switchgrass), 1098 nucleotides long. RefSeq lists it as uncharacterized. The transcript has 2 exons. The record is from RefSeq and is a predicted model, not a curated record. NCBI's taxonomy places the organism in Eukaryota, Viridiplantae, Streptophyta, Magnoliopsida, Poales, Poaceae.
AAUGAAGCAGUACAACAUGGAAUAGAAAAAAGAAUGAGUAGCUGGCUGCCCCCGCGCUUGUCUGACCUUCCUUUCUCCUCCCGUGCUACACCCAUUGGUGAUGGACGCCAUUUGCGAGUGCCCCCAAGCUCGAUCCCUAGCUAAGAUCCCAAAAUGUCGGAACCAGAUCCACUAAAUACCAAAUUGCCCGAAGGCGUUCUUACUGGGAUCUUUGACGGAUGCUUGCCUAUACCCAUUGGAAAUGAUUCGAACAGCUCAAGAUCUGGAUCUCAGGAUGAAGCUGUAUAUAAUGGAUUCAGUGGUUAUGCAUCUCUUUUGGAUAGUUGUUUAUUUGGUGAGAAUAAAUGUCAACGGGAUCCGAAUACAAGAGGUUAUGCAUCUGUGUUGUAGAGACCACUUAUUCUAGGCAUGCCUUUAUUUUAUUGCCUUUUGUUCCUAGGUUCUGUCUACUACUAUAAGAUUCUUGUAUGUCAUUACUAGUUAUCUGAUAGUUACUAAAAUUACAACAAUUGUUAAGCUCUUUUUCAAAAAUUGUGAAAAAACUAAACACUCUGCAUAAGCUCUUUUUCAGAUACUUAAUAGCUUGUCAUAAUCUCUUUUGUAGUCAGAUCUUUUCUUAGGGUUAAUUGGAAUGCCAGAACUAGGUUGGUUUGCCGUAUGUUGAAAUAUAUUUGUCAGCAAGGCACAUGUUUUCCUUAACCACUGCAGAUAUCAUUGCAUUCUUACUCUUUUUUAUGAGCUGGAUGCAGCGUGCAUUCUGAUGUCUUAAUGCACCAAUAAACCAAUUAUUAGCCUGCAAUUGAAGGAAAAACCUGUUAACACUACCAUACAAAAAGUUGGAUUGAAAAACUAGAGAUUAGGACCAUCUUUCCGCCCAAGCUCCAUCUGAAGUGGGACCAUUCCAGCAUUCUUUGAAAUGGCUAUACCAGUACCACCUCUAGUAAAGCUAAGAAGCAAAAAACAAAAAAACAAAAAAAACAAAUAAGGUUGUCGCACUGAAACUGAAGAUAUUAAAUAUCAACAAGCGCUGCUGAACUAGCUUUGAGGCAAUUCAUGCGGUCAGGUAAAGCUUAAAAAACAGCUAAUAACGGGAAAAAA